This 253-nucleotide ribosomal RNA is filed under the name uncultured bacterium. RNAcentral describes it as "partial 16S ribosomal RNA". It matches the Rfam family "Bacterial small subunit ribosomal RNA", at positions 524 to 776 of the family's 1533-position model. The record is from RNAcentral.
UACGUAGGGUGCAAGCGUUGUCCGGAAUUAUUGGGCGUAAAGAGCUCGUAGGCGGUCUGUCGCGUCUGCUGUGAAAACUCAGGGCUUAACCCUGAGCUUGCAGUGGGUACGGGCAGACUAGAGUGCGGUAGGGGAGACUGGAAUUCCUGGUGUAGCGGUGAAAUGCGCAGAUAUCAGGAGGAACACCGGUGGCGAAGGCGGGUCUCUGGGCCGAUAUCGACGCUGAGGAGCGAAAGCGUGGGGAGCGAUCCGG